UUACCAGACUCCUACGGGAGGCAGCAGUGAGGAAUAUUGGUCAAUGGGCUUACGCCUGAACCAGCCAAGUCGCGUGAGGGAAGACUGCCCUAUGGGUUGUAAACCUCUUUUGUCAGGGAGCAACGCCGGCUACGUGUAGCCGGACUGAGAGUACCUGAAGAAAAAGCAUCGGCUAACUCCGUGCCAGCAGCCGCGGUAAUACGGAGGAUGCGAGCGUUAUCCGGAUUUAUUGGGUUUAAAGGGUGCGUAGGCGGAAUGCCAAGUCAGGGGUAAAAUCGCGGGGCUCAACCUCGCUCCGCCGUUGAAACUGGCGUCCUUGAGUGGGCGAGAAGUAUGCGGAAUGCGUGGUGUAGCGGUGAAAUGCAUAGAUAUCACGCAGAACUCCGAUUGCGAAGGCAGCAUGCCGGCUCCACACUGACGCUGAGGCACGAAAGCGUGGGUAUCGAACAGGAUUAGAUACCCGGGUA
This 467-nucleotide ribosomal RNA is filed under the name uncultured bacterium. RNAcentral describes it as "bacterial SSU rRNA". It matches the Rfam family "Bacterial small subunit ribosomal RNA", at positions 328 to 792 of the family's 1533-position model. The record is from RNAcentral.